UGGGUAACACUAACUGGAGGACCGAACCCACUGUCGUUGAAAAGCCAGGGGAUGACUUGUGGAUAGGGGUGAAAGGCUAAUCAAGCCUGGUGAUAGCUGGUUCUCCCCGAAAGCUAUUUAGGUAGCGCCUCGGACGAAUACCAUAGGGGGUAGAGCACUGUUUCGGCUAGGGGGUCAUCCCGACUUACCAAACCGAUGCAAACUCCGAAUACCUAUGAGUACUAUCCGGGAGACAGACUGCGGGUGCUAACGUCCGUAGUCAAGAGGAAAACAAUCCAGACCGCCAGCUAAGGCCCCAAAAUCAUAGUUAAGUGGGAAACGAUGUGGGAAGGCAUAGACAGCUAGGAGGUUGGCUUAGAAGCAGCCACCCUUUAAAGAAAGCGUAAUAGCUCACUAGUCGAGUCGGCCUGCGCGGAAGAUGUAACGGGGCUAAAACUAUGUGCCGAAGCUGCGGAUGUACUUGUAGUGGUAGGGGAGCGUUCUGUAAGCCGAUGAAGGUGUAUUGAGAAGUAUGCUGGAGGUAUCAGAAGUGCGAAUGCUGACGUGAGUAACGACAAAACGGGUGAAAAACCCGUUCGCCGAAAGACCAAGGGUUCCAGUCCAACGUUAAUCGGGGCUGGGUGAGUCGACCCCUAAGGCGAGGCCGAAAGGCGUAGUCGAUGGGAAAAUGGUUAAUAUUCCAUUACUUCUGUGUAAUGCGAUGAGAGGACGGAGAAGGCUAAAUCAGCCUGGCGUUGGUUGUCCAGGUGAAAGGAUGUAGGCAUGUAUCUUAGGCAAAUCCGGGGUACUCUAUGCUGAGAUCUGAUAGCAAGCUGUACUUGUACAGCGAAGUGGUUGAUGCCAUGCUUCCAGGAAAAGUCUCUAAGCUUCAGUUACACAGGAAUCGUACCCGAAACCGACACAGGUGGUCAGGUCGAGUAGACCAAGGCGCUUGAGAGAACUCUGCUGAAGGAACUAGGCAAAAUGGUACCGUAACUUCGGGAGAAGGUACGCUGUUGUUGGUGAUGGAACUCGCUUCCUGAGCUGACGACAGCCGCAGAAACCAGGCCGCUGCAACUGUUUAUUAAAAACAUAGCACUCUGCAAACACGAAAGUGGACGUAUAGGGUGUGAUGCCUGCCCGGUGCUGGAAGGUUAAUUGAUGGGGUUAGCGUAAGCGAAGCUCUUGAUCGAAGCCCCAGUAAACGGCGGCCGUAACUAUAACGGUCCUAAGGUAGCGAAAUUCCUUGUCGGGUAAGUUCCGACCUGCACGAAUGGCAUAAUGAUGGCGGCGCUGUCUCCAGCAGAGGCUCAGUGAAAUCGAAAUCGCUGUGAAGAUGCAGUGUACCCGCGGCUAGACGGAAAGACCCCGUGAACCUUUACUGCAGCUUGACACUGAACUUUGACCUUACUUGUGUAGGAUAGGUGGGAGGCUUUGAAGCUGGAACGCUAGUUCCAGUGGAGCCGUCCUUGAAAUACCACCCUGGUAAUGUUGAGGUUCUAACUCUGUCCCGUGAUCCGGGACGAGGACCGUGUCUGGUGGGUAGUUUGACUGGGGCGGUCUCCUCCUAAAGAGUAACGGAGGAGUACGAAGGUGCGCUCAGCGUGGUCGGAAAUCACGCGUAGAGUAUAAAGGCAAAAGCGCGCUUAACUGCGAGACCCACAAGUCGAGCAGGUACGAAAGUAGGUCUUAGUGAUCCGGUGGUUCUGUAUGGAAGGGCCAUCGCUCAACGGAUAAAAGGUACUCUGGGGAUAACAGGCUGAUACCGCCCAAGAGUUCAUAUCGACGGCGGUGUUUGGCACCUCGAUGUCGGCUCAUCUCAUCCUGGGGCUGAAGCAGGUCCCAAGGGUAUGGCUGUUCGCCAUUUAAAGAGGUACGCGAGCUGGGUUUAGAACGUCGUGAGACAGUUCGGUCCCUAUCUACCGUGGGCGCUGGAAAUUUGAGAGGAUCUGCUCCUAGUACGAGAGGACCAGAGUGGACGAACCUCUGGUGUACCGGUUGUGACGCCAGUCGCAUCGCCGGGUAGCUAUGUUCGGAAGGGAUAACCGCUGAAAGCAUCUAAGCGGGAAGCCUACCUCAAGAUAAGAUUUCCCUAGGACUUUAUGUCCUCUAAAGAGCCGUUCGAGACUAGGACGUUGAUAGGUUGGAUGUGGAAGCAUAGUGAUAUGUGAAGCUGACCAAUACUAAUUGCUCGUGAGGCUUGACUAUACAACACCCAAGCAGUUG
Molecule: ribosomal RNA, 2205 nt
Filed under: Acinetobacter baumannii
Lineage: Bacteria; Pseudomonadati; Pseudomonadota; Gammaproteobacteria; Moraxellales; Moraxellaceae
Description: partial 23S ribosomal RNA
Rfam family: Bacterial large subunit ribosomal RNA
Source: RNAcentral